AGCUCAGUAGGUAGAGCAGCAAACCAUGAAUGGCAGGUUCGAAUCCUGCACUAU
This 54-nucleotide transfer RNA is filed under the name Saprospiraceae bacterium. RNAcentral's name for it is "tRNA-OTHER". The record is from RNAcentral. Lineage: Bacteria; Pseudomonadati; Bacteroidota; Saprospiria; Saprospirales; Saprospiraceae.